UACACUCCUGCGGGAGGCAGCAGUGGGGAAUUUUGGACAAUGGGCGAAAGCCUGAUCCAGCAAUGCCGCGUGAGUGAAGAAGGCCUUCGGGUUGUAAAGCUCCUUUGUCAGGGAAGAAACGGUGAAAGCUAAUAUCUUUUGCUAAUGACGGUACCUGAAGAAUAAGCACCGGCUAACUACGUGCCAGCAGCCGCGGUAAUACGUAGGGUGCAAGCGUUAAUCGGAAUUACUGGGCGUAAAGCGUGCGCAGGCGGUUUUGUAAGUCUGAUGUGAAAUCCCCGGGCUCAACCUGGGAAUUGCAUUGGAGACUGCAAGGCUAGAAUCUGGCAGAGGGGGGUAGAAUUCCACGUGUAGCAGUGAAAUGCGUAGAUAUGUGGAGGAACACCGAUGGCGAAGGCAGCCCCCUGGGUCAAGAUUGACGCUCAUGCACGAAAGCGUGGGGAGCAAACAGGAUUAGAUACCCUUGUAGUCCCAU
This 475-nucleotide ribosomal RNA is filed under the name uncultured organism. RNAcentral describes it as "partial 16S ribosomal RNA". It matches the Rfam family "Bacterial small subunit ribosomal RNA", at positions 332 to 798 of the family's 1533-position model. The record is from RNAcentral.